Molecule: ribosomal RNA, 240 nt
Filed under: uncultured Lactobacillus sp.
Lineage: Bacteria; Bacillati; Bacillota; Bacilli; Lactobacillales; Lactobacillaceae
Description: partial 16S ribosomal RNA
Rfam family: Bacterial small subunit ribosomal RNA
Source: RNAcentral
UAACCUGCCCAAGAGAUCGGGAUAACACCUGGAAACAGAUGCUAAUACCGUAUAACAACAGAUGAUGCCUAUCAACUGUUUAAAAGAUGGUUCUGCUAUCACUCUUGGAUGGACCUGCGGUGCAUUAGCUAGUUGGUAGGGUAACGGCCUACCAAGGCGAUGAUGCAUAGCCGAGUUGAGAGACUGAUCGGCCACAUUGGGACUGAGACACGGCCCAAACUCCUACGGGAGGCAGCAGCC